AGCGGAACGUCCUGCUGUUAGAACAUUUGUAAAACAUUAGUUGAUUAAUUGUUAUUUCUAAAGAGACUUAAUAAGGGGAGGAGGUUUUUAAGCUUCCUCCUGGUUUAUUUGUUUUUUUUGGUUCCAGGGAUCAAACUCAGGACCUUGUGCUGCACCGGAACCACUGAGCUAAAUCCCUGGCCAAGCUUCCUCCUUCUGAGUUCAUCUAAAGGGCAGGCAGGCCAGCGGAAUUGUGCUUACAGCCUCAAGAUUCAUUAGCAAAUUCUGUGAUUUGGAAUGUGUAUCAUGUGCUAGGCACUAAUAUCCCAUCUUCACGGGGGAAGAAAACACAGAAAAAAGGGCACUUGCAGAGGACAGUAAUAUUGACUAUGCC
This 373-nucleotide long non-coding RNA is filed under the name Heterocephalus glaber (naked mole-rat). Its description in RNAcentral is "lncRNA (ENSHGLG00100041575.1)". Lineage: Eukaryota; Metazoa; Chordata; Mammalia; Rodentia; Bathyergidae. The record is from RNAcentral.